UGAGGUAGUAGGUUGUAUUGUU
Molecule: microRNA, 22 nt
Filed under: Eptatretus burgeri (inshore hagfish)
Lineage: Eukaryota; Metazoa; Chordata; Myxini; Myxiniformes; Myxinidae
Also listed under: 2 other names
Description: Ebu-Let-7-P2o7_5p (mature (guide))
Source: RNAcentral